Molecule: transfer RNA, 73 nt
Filed under: Actinomycetes bacterium
Lineage: Bacteria; Bacillati; Actinomycetota; Actinomycetes
Description: Actinobacteria bacterium tRNA-Arg
Rfam family: tRNA
About the family: Transfer RNA (tRNA) molecules are approximately 80 nucleotides in length. Their secondary structure includes four short double-helical elements and three loops (D, anti-codon, and T loops). Further hydrogen bonds mediate the characteristic L-shaped molecular structure. tRNAs have two regions of fundamental functional importance: the anti-codon, which is responsible for specific mRNA codon recognition, and the 3' end, to which the tRNAs corresponding amino acid is attached (by aminoacyl-tRNA synthetases). tRNAs cope with the degeneracy of the genetic code in two manners: having more than one tRNA (with a specific anti-codon) for a particular amino acid; and 'wobble' base-pairing, i.e. permitting non-standard base-pairing at the 3rd anti-codon position.
Source: RNAcentral
GCCCUCGUAGCUCAGUGGAUAGAGCACGGGUUUCCUAAACCCGGUGUCGCAGGUUCGAUUCCUGCCGGGGGCG